GAUAUGGACUCUCCGAAAAGAUUACGCUGUUAUCCCUAAGGUAAGUUAAUCUUAUAAUCAAAAAUUCUGGAUCAAAAAAACAUAAAUUAAUGAAAAAAAAUAUUAAAAGUUAAAUAAAUUUUAAUGUCACCCCAACAAAACUUUAUAUUCUAAAAAAUUAUUUAAUAAACAAAAAAUAAAAAUUAAUAAAUAAAGUAAACUUCUAUAGGGUCUUCUCGUCCUAUAAAAAAAUUUUAGCUUUUUAACUAAAAAAUUAAAUUCAAAAUAAUUAAAAAAAGAAAGAUUAUUUUUCAUGAAACCAUUCAUACUAGCCUUCAAUUAAAAGACAAAUGAUUAUGCUACCUUCGUACAGUUAAAAUACCGCAGCCUUUUAAUUCUUAAAAAUCAAUGGGCAGGCCUGAUCUUAAAUUAAGCUCAAAAGACC
Molecule: ribosomal RNA, 424 nt
Filed under: Limnoporus canaliculatus
Lineage: Eukaryota; Metazoa; Arthropoda; Insecta; Hemiptera; Gerridae
Description: partial 16S ribosomal RNA
Source: RNAcentral